GUACACGUGGGCUCCUUAUGCGUUUCUAGCUUGGGAUCUCAUUCCCUCAGGCCCGGUAGGCGUGCGCGGGGCUGGGUAUGGGGACGGGGGAGGGGGGCUUUUUCAAGGCACCAGAAACUCGUGGGAUGGGAGAAGCUUUGGAUAGUUACCCCUUUCUGCCUGUCGCUCUGGGUGUCCGGUGCCCCCAGCUCCCUCCGACUCUGCUCCUGGCAGCCCAGCCGAGCCGGAGUGGGAGCGUUGGCGGCGGCCCGGAACCUGCCGGGCCACUUUUGUGCUAGGGGCGGAUUGUGGCAGGCAGAGAGCCGAGCCAAGCAGGCCAGGCAGAAUGGGGGCUCGGGCCUGCGCGCGGCCUUGGAAACCUCGGCUCCUCCCCGUCCCCGCCUCGAGUCUCAGGAAACAAAGUCUCGGAAGCGCAGGCCGAUUGGGGAGGAACUCUGGCGUCUCGGAGGCCUGGCCCCGGGCCGCGCUCUGCGGUGGGGGCAUCUAGCGUGGCUGCCCGCCUGUGGGCAGUUUCAAGUCGGAAUAAGGGUGUGGAUGGACCAGCACCCAGCCGCCAGCUCACCCCUCCAUCGCCUGUUGUUGUGGGAGCAGCCGGGUGGGAGUUGCUGCUCUUCCAGGACGGAGCUGACUCAGGGAAACACCCCCUUGUCAGGAAGAAGUGCGAGUGGGCAGGACCCGGCUCAGACCCGGCUCAGACCCUGCUCCGACCCCCAUCAGGUGCCUAAGUUAGGAACAGCCCUCUUUCUAAUUCUUUGCUCACCAGCCCUCCGAGUGGCCAGGGACCCUCCUCACUUUGUAGAUGAGCAAAUGGACAUUCUGCCUGGGCCUCUAAGAGAUUUGCCGUGGAAUGGGAAAGAGGCCGCCAGCUCCUAGCUGAGCCCGAGUUGGACUGGCCUCUCCUGACUUGUGUGGCUUCAGCUGCCCCAGAAUGGGUGGGGCUGCAGUUGGUGGGCAUCCCUGUGCAUAGGGGACCAACCAAGCUGUGUGGCAAAGCUGAGGCUUAGGGAGGGAGCGUUGGCCAACCCAUCUUCUCCCAUCCCCUUUACCUUCCCAGAUCAGAUCAGAGAGGGGCAGAUCUCAUCCCAGACACCUCAGAGGACUGACCUGCCUCCAGUCUCAACACAGGGCGUGGGGAAGGACACGGCUCGGGGCCUGCAGGCUCAGGUUAAGACUCCGGAUUGUCAGAGUUGGAUGAGAUGCCAGCAAGUCCUACUCCAGAAAUCUGCAGGUGGGGAAACUGAGGCCCAGGGAGUAGAAGAAUUUGCUCAAAGUCACUCAGCGUGUCGGGAGAGCAGUCGCCAAUAAGAGCGUGGGCCCUGAAAGCAGAAAGAUGAGGCUGCGAGCCUCGUGCUGCCCCUCACUGGCUGCGUGACCUUGGACAGCAAAUGCCCUCAACUCGUAAGACUGCAGAGGGGACUGAGAGAACAUGUCUAAAGUGCCCAGCACUGCCUGGCACAGACUGAAGGCUCACCACAUGCUAGUUAUUGCUAUUCUUCUUGAUGUGGUUAUUGUCCUUAAGCCCAGAACUCUGUAUCUGCAGCAUGGCCUGUUAAUUCACUGGAAGGACUUUUCUCUGCCUUGGUGAUCUGCCCAGCAAAAGUCUAACAGCCUAUCUGUGCUAGCUUUGUCCUGUGGCCUGGAGCUAAAUCAUAGAGGCCUCCCGAGACCGGGCCACAGGCAGGCAGAGCUUUAGUAGGAGAGAAAAUGCUCCCUGUGGGCAGCGGCACAUGUCAUUAUUGUCAUCACCCGGCCUAGCUGGGUUCCAGAAUACUCCUACUGAAUGAAUGAAGGAUGGAAGGUUUGCCUGUUGAUUUCUCCAGACCCGGGCCACCUCUGGAGCUUGCCUCUAAGGCAGAAAGCAUGAAUUUUGGAGCCAGCUGGCCUGUUUCUUCAUCUGCAGAAGGGGUCAUGUUUGUCCUGAAGGACGCAGUGGGAGGGUGUGUGCAGAGCAUUUGGCACAAGGCAGGUGAUUCUGCAACAGAAGCUGCUACUGGGGCUCAUCCCCUCUCCACCGGCACAGGCACGCACCUCCUUCUACCCCGUUCCUCCAGCCCUUUGGACAGGCGGAACACGCAUUCCUACUCCCACUGUGCAGCAGAGGAAACUAAGGCCCCGAGAAGAUGGUGAAUCUGGAGCUCAGAGAGGUGCUGAGACUUGCUCAAGAUCACACAGCAAAGAACAGGCAGGGCUGGGAUUCCGGGCCAAGGCUGGUGUUCUCUUCCUGACACGACAGUAUUACCCCAAAGUCUUUGUUUUCCAUUCUCAAGUUCAACAUCAGUGGUGGAGCUGUAGCGGGGGCUGCCGAAGCUCCGCCCAGAUCCACAGGGCCCCUUUAUCCUCUUGGUGUGACCACUGCCCGCUUCUGUGCGCUUUGCUUCCAAUGGCCCUCGCCUGCAACCUUCUUCAGGAGGCGACCCUUGGGCCCUUGGAGCCAUUGGCCCAGACACAGGGCUGACCGUGCCUGUGUUCACUGGGGUCCAUCGCCAAUGGCUGACGGGAACCAGAGCAUUAAGCCCAGCUCCCUCACCUCGAGGCAGGACAAACUCUGAGUUGUGAUUUACCCUCCAGAGCUCCUCGUGCGCUCAGGCUGGUCCUAGGACUUCGCCUGGGAUGGGAUGGCACCUUGCUUGGUUUCUCUCUCUUCCCUGUCCUGCUCCACCCACUCCCUCCCUCCAGUCUCCCCUGGGAGCACUUCCUUAAUACAUCCAUUAUAAAUAAAUUCUCACUUCAACGUCUGCUUCUGAAUGUGACCUAAGACAGGCGCUGACCAAGGGCUCCAGCAUCAAGAUUGCAAAAAGAGACGGGAUCAGAGAGGGAGGGGACGCUCCUUUGCUAAAAUCUGACCUUCGAGGGGAGCCCUUAGUGAAGCUGUGGCCAGCCACGGAGGUGGGGAAGAAGUCAUCUGAGAAUGUGCUGGAAUCUAUUUGCAAAUGAGCUGUGAUCUUAAAGGACUGAGGUCUCGUCCUCUCCUCUGAAUGACAGAAGUGGGAGCUUGGGGAGUGAGUCCUGGCUCUGGCCAGGGGCACAAACCUGCUGCGUGCUGCCUUGGAUCUGAGACAGAGGUUAGCAUGCAGGACAUCUGCUAGAGGUAGAUUCUUAGGAACAAAACCUACAAAGGAGUGAGGAAAGCAGGAUUGGGCUGAGAGAGAUGGGAUUGCGAUGCAAUUGUAUCAGAGCUCCCAGGGGAUCCCACGGAGACCUCUGGGGCUGGGAGGGCCCUGAGAGACGUCCUCAAUCAAGGCCAGGGGCUGGGGUCUCAUACUCCUGCCAGGACUCCAGAUGAGGACAAGUUCUGGAGAAGGGCUCAGCUGUGAGGCCUCUCAGCUGCAGAGCAGAGCAGACACUUGUUGACUGACCGUUGACCUGUUCCCACCUGGCGUUUUCUUGUCACUGUUUCGUCCGAUCUUUGAGGAGAGAAGUUGUAGAAAGGAAACCUGUCUGCUUUCAGUUUCAUUUAAGUCCACGUAGAUUUCCUGAGGACUUCCUGUGUGCUGAGCCUUUAUAGGCCCUGUGGAGGACCGAGAGAUGAAGAAGUCAGGGUCCUCACGGAACUUCAGUCCAGCUGGAGAGACGCAGCUUUGCCUAUGACAAGUGGAAGGACAGCUCAGAGGAGCUGUUGUCAUAAUGCUUUUGCAGUGGCCUUCUUCAGAUCCCAUCCUGUCUCUGCUGUCACCCAGUGAUGCACUGCCUCCCCCAAACCCAAAAGCUGUGACAGCCCAGGUGACCACGGAGAGGAAAUCCCUGGCCAGAACAGCCUCUGCUUCGCAAAGGGACAGCAAUAAAGGCAGACUUUUGCCCGGAGCACCGGACUUCUGAGGCUGGUCUGCACGGAUCUGACUGAGGCGGCAUUAACAUUCCUGCCGGAGAUGGAAUCUGCUCUUCUGAUUAGGACUUUGUGAACAUUACACACCCGCGCUCCAGCCGGGGAGAUUUCUAUCUGUGACUUUGCUUAUGAUCUGCUGUGCCCUCAACUCCGGGGAUGUAACAGCUGCAAUGUUUGACUGGACGUUCAGAAAAGAUAAACCUGCCGUCCGUGGGUUUACACACCCACUCACCUGCACACCCACACCACACUCUGUGAAGUCUCGCCUUUGUUUUCUUCCAGUGCAGUGUUAAAUGUGGGUGAAUGUUUCCCAAACCUGCCUGAUGGGGAAUUUGCCAGAAAACACAGAUUCUCAGGUCCCCUCCCAAUCUGAUUCAGCAGGUUGGAAGAGGGGUUGUAUUAAGAAGUUAUAGUUUUAACAAGACCACAGGAAAUUCCUAUGAUUGGAGGAGUAUGAUUGGAUAAAUUCAGCAGGGGUGGCCCAGUGCUUCUCAAACCACAGCAGGUGCCCGGAACAGCUGGGCGGCUUGUUAAAAACAGAGCUGACCUUCUUAUCUGGGCCUGAGAAGUUACAUUUCUGACACACUCCCAGGUGAUGCAGAUGCUGCUGGCGUGGAGACGACACUUUGAGAGCCACUGGUGGAGACAGAUGUAAACUGCUCAGCCUCGGUUUCACCAUCUGUCACGUGGGGUUCAUCAAAAUUUCUACCUCCUGGGUGUCGUUAUGAGGAUUAACUGAGUUAAUACUUGUAAAGAACUUCCAGCAGUGUCUGGCACAUGGUAAAUUAGUAUUCCGUGUUUGUUAAAUAGACGAACUAAAAUGCCAGCCUAGGUUAUAGGUAACUUUUCAUUCAUACACUCAGUGAAUACAUAAUGAUACCACCCUGUGCUGGAACUGUCUUGUAAGUAGGGAGCACGCGGUGGUGCAGGAGGCAGAUAGAGUCCCUUCUCAUUCUGUGGUCAAGAACGGUGGAUUUUCUGGUUAUGGCUGAUGCGUUCUUCCAGCAUGUCAUUCUUGGAAGCCCUGUAUCUCCCAAGACCUUAAAAGCCCAAUGAUAUGAUCAACAUCAAGACCCUGUCCUGCUGUGCUUGCACGCUGGACUUAGCCUUCAAGGCACCCAUCCUGAUUCUUAACCCUUCAUCUGUUCGUGCAAUGGUUUCACAGCUGCUUCCUCGUGGAUGGCACGGUUGGUAAGGCCAGGCUCUAUCUCUGCGGCUCGUCCCUGCUGAGUCCCCAGCACAUCGUGCUGCGUCUGGCACAUCAUAGCUGCUCAAUGAAUUUGUUGAAUGAGUGGAUGGUGGAUGGAUGGACAGACAGAUGGACAGACAGACAGUUGGAGCCUGGUCACUCACCGGCCUCUCCCAGGUGACCAAGCAGUUUCCUGUCAGGCUUCCCACCUCCAUCGUUGGCCCCUUCAAUCCAUUUUCCCCACUGCAGCUGCAGAGAUGGUUCUAAAACCCAGGUCUGAUCCUCUUCCAUGGCUCUCUCUUUUAAUAAUUUUCUUCUAUGGACCACGUGUAAAUCAAACUCCAUAACUUAUACAUUAAUUCAUGUCUCCAUUUACAAGUAAUCAAAGUCAUGUGCCUGCCAAUCGAAUUGUUGGUUACCAGGAGAUAAGAAGUGCUAAUAAAAUUUCAACUCAAA
Molecule: long non-coding RNA, 5468 nt
Filed under: Equus asinus (donkey)
Lineage: Eukaryota; Metazoa; Chordata; Mammalia; Perissodactyla; Equidae
Description: lncRNA (ENSEASG00005036967.1)
Source: RNAcentral